This 483-nucleotide ribosomal RNA is filed under the name uncultured bacterium. RNAcentral's name for it is "partial 16S ribosomal RNA". It matches the Rfam family "Bacterial small subunit ribosomal RNA", at positions 28 to 523 of the family's 1533-position model. The record is from RNAcentral.
GAUGAACGCUGGCGGCGUGCUUAACACAUGCAAGUCGAACGGAAAGGCCCAAGCUUGCUUGGGUACUCGAGUGGCGAACGGGUGAGUAACACGUGGGUGAUCUGCCCUGCACUUCGGGAUAAGCCUGGGAAACUGGGUCUAAUACCGGAUAGGACCACUUCUUGGAUGUUGUGGGGGAAAGUUUUUUCGGUGUGGGAUGAGCUCGCGGCCUAUCAGCUUGUUGGUGGGGUAAUGGCCUACCAAGGCGUCGACGGGUAGCCGGCCUGAGAGGGUGUACGGCCACAUUGGGACUGAGAUACGGCCCAGACUCCUACGGGAGGCAGCAGUGGGGAAUAUUGCACAAUGGGCGCAAGCCUGAUGCAGCGACGCCGCGUGGGGGAUGACGGCCUUCGGGUUGUAAACUCCUUUCGCUAGGGACGAAGCGUUUUGUGACGGUACCUGGAGAAGAAGCACCGGCUAACUACGUGCCAGCAGCCGCAGUAA